GUGAUUGUAGCUCAGUCGGUAGAGCUCUGGAUUGUGGUUCCAGCAGUCGUGGGUUCGAGUCCCAUCAAUCACC
This 73-nucleotide transfer RNA is filed under the name Candidatus Blochmannia vicinus (nom. nud.). Its description in RNAcentral is "Candidatus Blochmannia vicinus tRNA-His". It matches the Rfam family "tRNA". From Rfam's summary of the family: Transfer RNA (tRNA) molecules are approximately 80 nucleotides in length. The record is from RNAcentral. Lineage: Bacteria; Pseudomonadati; Pseudomonadota; Gammaproteobacteria; Enterobacterales; Enterobacteriaceae.